UCAAGUGAUGAUUAUUGGAGGUAGAGCACUGUUUGGACGAGGGGCCCCUCUCGGGUUACCGAAUUCAGACAAACUCCGAAUGCCAAUUAAUUUAACUUGGGAGUCAGAACAUGGGUGAUAAGGUCCGUGUUCGAAAGGGAAACAGCCCAGACCACCAGCUAAGGUCCCAAAAUAUAUGUUAAGUGGAAAAGGAUGUGGCGUUGCCCAGACAACUAGGAUGUUGGCUUAGAAGCAGCCAUCAUUUAAAGAGUGCGUAAUAGCUCACUAGUCGAGUGACACUGCGCCGAAAAUGUACCGGGGCUAAACAUAUUACCGAAGCUGUGGAUUGUCCUUUGGACAAUGGUAGGAGAGCGUUCUAAGGGCGUUGAAGCAUGAUCGUAAGGACAUGUGGAGCGCUUAGAAGUGAGAAUGCCGGUGUGAGUAGCGAAAGACGGGUGAGAAUCCCGUCCACCGAUUGACUAAGGUUUCCAGAGGAAGGCUCGUCCGCUCUGGGUUAGUCGGGUCCUAAGCUGAGGCCGACAGGCGUAGGCGAUGGAUAACAGGUUGAUAUUCCUGUACCACCUAUA
This 566-nucleotide ribosomal RNA is filed under the name Staphylococcus aureus. RNAcentral's name for it is "partial 23S ribosomal RNA". It matches the Rfam family "Bacterial large subunit ribosomal RNA", at positions 882 to 1452 of the family's 2925-position model. Lineage: Bacteria; Bacillati; Bacillota; Bacilli; Caryophanales; Staphylococcaceae. The record is from RNAcentral.